This 399-nucleotide ribosomal RNA is filed under the name Triticum aestivum (bread wheat). RNAcentral describes it as "partial small subunit ribosomal RNA". The record is from RNAcentral. Lineage: Eukaryota; Viridiplantae; Streptophyta; Magnoliopsida; Poales; Poaceae.
AUGGCCAACAAUGGCGUCAAGGUCACCUACAUCGAGACGCAAUUCGUCACCUCCGACGCCGCGGGCUUCAAGUCCCUCGUGCAGCGCCUCACCGGCAAGUCCGCUGAAACCGGAGCCGAAGCCGGAGCAGCACCUCCGCUCCACCGACCGCGCCCCAGCCGCCCAGCCGCCGAGAGGAGGAACGCUGUCGCCGGAGCACGAAGCCAUUUCAUGCCCGCCACCGCGGGCGCGGUCGGUACAGCCGGGAACGACGUGCGGGCUGCCAACGCCAACGCCAACGCCAACGCCGGCGCCGCGCAGCCGUGUCCGGAUGAGCUGUACGGGUUCUGCGAUUACUCAGAGCUGUUCUCCGCGGGCGAACGGCGCCAUGGCGGCGGUUACAGUGAUUUCCUCUAUUGA